Molecule: long non-coding RNA, 555 nt
Organism: Alnus glutinosa
Lineage: Eukaryota; Viridiplantae; Streptophyta; Magnoliopsida; Fagales; Betulaceae
Exons: 2
Source: RefSeq, a predicted model, not a curated record
CUAACCUAUUUAACCUAAACCUAAUCAGAAGUCACAAGGCCUCUCAAACUCAGUCCCUGCACGACGUGCAAGACUCUUGAUCUUUCAAAUUCCAGACUUCCAGCCUUAAAGGUCGAAGCCUCUUAUUCUAAAUGGGUUCUUCACUCUUCAAGAUUUCAAUUGGCCCUAAAUCUUCGCUCUUCGACUUCCACCGUCGGCAUGUCGGUACAGUUGAUUUCUCUCCAAAUCAAUCUGUCCGAGUCUUUCAAUCUCAGACUCUCAGGUAACGGAAUCUGAUCUUGAUGUGGAUUUUUAUUUUUUUUAUUUUAUAUUUGAAUAUAAGCGUUGAUUAUUGUAUAUAAAUUUUGUUGGGUACUUUUGUUUUGACUACUGCCUACUGGGUUAGUGGGUUCGAAUCGCUUGUUCUGUUUGCGUAGAAAUAAAAUUGAGUGUAUCUGUGUAUGAUUUUUGCUUGGUUAUUAAAUAAAAUUUGUAUUGUCAAUAGAAUUAAAGAAUCCUAAUGGGAAUUAUGUAUUCAGUAUUUGUUCUUGAAUCAUAAUAAUAAUUAUUUGAAUA